Molecule: unclassified non-coding RNA, 221 nt
Filed under: uncultured Tomentella
Lineage: Eukaryota; Fungi; Basidiomycota; Agaricomycetes; Thelephorales; Thelephoraceae
Description: sequence contains ITS2
Source: RNAcentral
ACACCUCAACUCUUCAUGGUUUUCCGUGAUGAGUUUGGACUUUGGGGGUCUUGCUGGCCUACGGUCAGCUCCUCUAAAAUGAAUCAGCUUGCCAGUGUUUGGUGGGUAUCAUAGGUGUGAUAACUAUCUACGCUUGUGGUUCUUCCAUCAGGUAACCUUCAGCAGUGGAGGUUCACUGGAGCUCACAGAUGUCUCUCCUCAGUGAGGACAGCCCUUUGAAU